CCCACUUCCAAGCAAGAACCACUUCAGUUCUACAGCAGACAGCCUUGCCAGAGAUAUGACUUCUUGCAUAAUGACAAGUGCUUACCUAUGGAUUCACUUCUCUUCACCGCCAUACCAACUUCCAACUUAGAACCACUUCAGUUGAGAGCAUUUCGAGACAGCCUUGCCAGAGAUGUGACUACUUGCAUAAUGACAAGUGCUUACCUAUGGAUUCACUUCACCUCACCACCACACCCACUUCCAAGCAAGAACCACUUCAGUUCUACAGCAGACAGCCUUGCCAGAGAUAUGACUUCUUGCAUAAUGACAAGUGCUUACCUAUGGAUUCACUUCUCUUCACCGCCAUACCAACUUCCAACUUAGAACCACUUCAGUUGAG
Long non-coding RNA from Lineus longissimus, 379 nucleotides. RefSeq lists it as uncharacterized. NCBI's taxonomy places the organism in Eukaryota, Metazoa, Nemertea, Pilidiophora, Heteronemertea, Lineidae. The transcript has 4 exons. The record is from RefSeq and is a predicted model, not a curated record.